AACGAACGCUGGCGGCAUGCCUAACACAUGCAAGUCGAACGAGACCUUCGGGUCUAGUGGCGCAAGGGUGCGUAACGCGUGGGAACCUGCCCUUAGGUUCGGAAUAACUCACCGAAAGGGGUGCUAAUACCGGAUAAUGUCUUCGGACCAAAGAUUUAUCGCCUUUGGAUGGGCCCGCGUUGGAUUAGCUAGUUGGUAGGGUAAAAGCCUACCAAGGCGACGAUCCAUAGCUGGUCUGAGAGGAUGAUCAGCCACACUGGGACUGAGACACGGCCCAGACUCCUACGGGAGGCAGCAGGGGGGAAUAUUGGACAAUGGGCGAAAGCCUGAUCCAGCAAUGCCGCGUGAGUGAUGAAGGCCUUAGGGUUGUAAAGCUCUUUUACCCGGGAUGAUAAUGACAGUACCGGGAGAAUAAGCUCCGGCUAACUCCGUG
RNAcentral lists this ribosomal RNA (433 nucleotides) under uncultured bacterium. RNAcentral describes it as "partial 16S ribosomal RNA". It matches the Rfam family "Bacterial small subunit ribosomal RNA", at positions 29 to 507 of the family's 1533-position model. The record is from RNAcentral.